RNAcentral lists this ribosomal RNA (619 nucleotides) under Falklandius sp. FAM1. RNAcentral's name for it is "partial 16S ribosomal RNA". It matches the Rfam family "Bacterial large subunit ribosomal RNA", at positions 1835 to 2739 of the family's 2925-position model. The record is from RNAcentral. Lineage: Eukaryota; Metazoa; Arthropoda; Insecta; Coleoptera; Curculionidae.
UUGUUUAUGAUUUAAGGUCUAGCCUGCCCAAUGAGAUUUUGAAUGGCCGCGGUAUUUUAACCGUGCAAAGGUAGCAUAAUCAUUAGUUUUUUAAUUAAAAGCUGGUAUGAAUGGUUGAAUGAAAAAAUAACUGUCUCUAUUUAAAUUUUUUAGAAUUUUAUUUUUAAGUAAAAAAGCUUAAAUUAUAUUAGAAGACGAGAAGACCCUGUAGAGUUUAAUUAAUUAUUAUAAUAGGAUUUUUAGUAUUCUUAUUUUUAUUAUUUAUAAUUAAUUUAGUUGGGGUGAUUUAAAAAUUUAAUAAACUUUUUUUAUAUUUAUACAUUAAUUUAUGAUUACUUGAUCCUUAUUUUAAGAUUAAAAGAUAAAAUUACCUUAGGGAUAACAGCGUAAUUUUUUUAGAGAGUUCUAAUCGAAAAAAAAGAUUGCGACCUCGAUGUUGGAUUAAAAUAAAAAUUUGGUGUAGAAGCUAAAGUAUUUAGGUCUGUUCGACCUUUAAAAUUUUACAUGAUCUGAGUUUAAACCGGUGUAAGCCAGGUUGGUUUCUAUCUCUAUUUUAAAUAAAUAUUUUAGUACGAAAGGACCAAAUAUUAGGUUUAAAAUUUUAUAUUUGAAUAUAAUU